Molecule: ribosomal RNA, 497 nt
Filed under: uncultured bacterium
Lineage: Bacteria
Description: partial 16S ribosomal RNA
Rfam family: Bacterial small subunit ribosomal RNA
Source: RNAcentral
GAUGAACGCUGGCGGCGUGCCUAAUACAUGCAAGUCGAGCGAACGGACGAGAAGCUUGCUUCUCUGAUGUUAGCGGCGGACGGGUGAGUAACACGUGGAUAACCUACCUAUAAGACUGGGAUAACUUCGGGAAACCGGAGCUAAUACCGGAUAAUAUUUUGAACUGCAUGGUUCAAAAGUGAUAGACGGUCUUGCUGUCACUUAUAGAUGGAUCCGCGCUGCAUUAGCUAGUUGGUAAGGUAACGGCUUACCAAGGCAACGAUGCAUAGCCGACCUGAGAGGGUGAGCGGCCACACUGGAACUGAGACACGGUCCAGACUCCUACGGGAGGCAGCAGUAGGGAAUCUUCCGCAAUGGGCGAAAGCCUGACGGAGCAACGCCGCGUGAGUGAUGAAGGUCUUCGGAUCGUAAAGCACUGUUAUUAGGGAAGAACAUAUGUGUAAGUAUCUGUGCACAUCUUGACGGUACCUAAUCAGAAAGCCACGGCUAACUACGUG